This 23-nucleotide small nuclear RNA is filed under the name Arabidopsis thaliana (thale cress). RNAcentral's name for it is "snRNA_06022". Lineage: Eukaryota; Viridiplantae; Streptophyta; Magnoliopsida; Brassicales; Brassicaceae. The record is from RNAcentral.
AUACUUGUAUAUCAUCUAUUGAU